This 477-nucleotide ribosomal RNA is filed under the name uncultured bacterium. Its description in RNAcentral is "partial 16S ribosomal RNA". It matches the Rfam family "Bacterial small subunit ribosomal RNA", at positions 30 to 507 of the family's 1533-position model. The record is from RNAcentral.
AUUGAACGCUGGCGGCAUGCCUUACACAUGCAAGUCGAACGGUAACAGGUUAAGCUGCCGAGUGGCGAACGGGUGAGUAAUGUAUCGGAACGUGCCCAGUCGUGGGGGAUAACUGCUCGAAAGAGCAGCUAAUACCGCAUACGACCUGAGGGUGAAAGCGGGGGAUCACAAGACCUCGCGCGAUUGGAGCGGCCGAUAUCAGAUUAGGUAGUUGGUGAGGUAAAGGCUCACCAAGCCGACGAUCUGUAGCUGGUCUGAGAGGACGACCAGCCACACUGGGACUGAGACACGGCCCAGACUCCUACGGGAGGCAGCAGUGGGGAAUUUUGGACAAUGGGCGCAAGCCUGAUCCAGCCAUGCCGCGUGCGGGAAGAAGGCCUUCGGGUUGUAAACCGCUUUUGUCAGGGAAGAAAAGGUUCUGGCUAAUACCUGGGACUCAUGACGGUACCUGAAGAAUAAGCACCGGCUAACUACGUG